GCCGGUAUAGUCUAGUGGUUAUGACGUCUGCCUUACACGCAGAACGUCGCGAGUUCAAUCCUCGCUCCUGGUA
RNAcentral lists this transfer RNA (73 nucleotides) under Perkinsus olseni. It matches the Rfam family "tRNA". Rfam says of the family: Transfer RNA (tRNA) molecules are approximately 80 nucleotides in length. Their secondary structure includes four short double-helical elements and three loops (D, anti-codon, and T loops). Further hydrogen bonds mediate the characteristic L-shaped molecular structure. tRNAs have two regions of fundamental functional importance: the anti-codon, which is responsible for specific mRNA codon recognition, and the 3' end, to which the tRNAs corresponding amino acid is attached (by aminoacyl-tRNA synthetases). tRNAs cope with the degeneracy of the genetic code in two manners: having more than one tRNA (with a specific anti-codon) for a particular amino acid; and 'wobble' base-pairing, i.e. permitting non-standard base-pairing at the 3rd anti-codon position. Lineage: Eukaryota; Perkinsozoa; Perkinsida; Perkinsidae. The record is from Rfam by way of RNAcentral.